ACGAACGCUGGCGGCGUGCUUCACACAUGCAAGUCGAACGGAAAGGCCCUGCUUUUGUGGGGUGCUCGAGUGGCGAACGGGUGAGUAACACGUGAGUAACCUGCCCUUGACUUUGGGAUAACUUAAGGAAACUGGGGCUAAUACCGGAUAGGAGCUCCUGCUGCAUGGUGGGGGUUGGAAAGUUUCGGCGGUUGGGGAUGGACUCGCGGCUUAUCAGCUUGUUGGUGGGGUAGUGGCUUACCAAGGCUUUGACGGGUAGCCGGCCUGAGAGGGUGACCGGCCACAUUGGGACUGAGAUACGGCCCAGACUCCUACGGGAGGCAGCAGUGGGGAAUAUUGCACAAUGGGCGGAAGCCUGAUGCAGCAACGCCGCGUGCGGGAUGACGGCCUUCGGGUUGUAAACCGCUUUCGCCUGUGACGAAGCGUGAGUGACGGUAAUGGGUAAAGAAGCACCGGCUAACUACGUG
Molecule: ribosomal RNA, 467 nt
Filed under: uncultured bacterium
Lineage: Bacteria
Description: partial 16S ribosomal RNA
Rfam family: Bacterial small subunit ribosomal RNA
Source: RNAcentral